ACGCAGCAACUUCAGGAUGCCAGCAGCAGCAUCAGUGUGAAGUCCGUGACUGUCCUCCACAACAUGCUGCACCUGGCAGAUCGACAGAAGGCGGCACCCAUUGCCCUGCAGCUGCCUAAGCUCCUGCUGUCCUUCUUCUUAAACGAGUCUGCCCGGACAAGGCAGCUCUCCAUCCUUCUCUGUAAGGAUGCCAUGGAGGCUGCAGGGAACACCCACAGAGUGGAGAUGAAGAAGGAAGUGCGCAACAUCCUCCUGCCUCUCUUCUUCCACCUGCACGACAAGGAUCAGAGCGUGGCUCAGGCCUCCUGGGAAGCCCUUCUUUGCGCGGCCAACCUGCUGAAGCGCAGGCACCUCAGCUAUCUGCUGAAGACAGCACAGCCGCAGAGGAUUGGCGAGUGCCUGCUGGUGGGCCACAGCAGCAGAAUGAACCAGUUCCUGGAGCAGAGCCUGUCCUACCUGCAGAGCCCCCAGGAACCCCUGCGAGAGGCGGCCGUCAGGUUCCUUGGGGUUGCUGGGCUGUAUGUGAGAAAUGGGCACGAGGAGAAGCUGAACGCCGCCAUCGAGGCCCUGAGAAAUCUGGAGGUGAGCUGCCCUUCCAUUUCCACCCUGGCAGCUGAAGCUGUCCAGCGCCUGAGGACACCCCCUGUAGUCAGCCUGCAAACUCUUCGCUACCGGCUCAGCAGUGCGUGGGAGAGGAAGAUGCACUCCCUAAGAGCUGGCUGGCUGCGCUACUGCAGCUGUGUUCAGGGCUGACCCCAGCUCCAGCCCCGAGGCCCUGCACACCCCUUCGUGUGCUCCUUGCUGGGCCCUCUGCUGGCUUCCCUGAAAGACACAGCCCUCUUGCUUCACCGUGCUGUUACUGAAGGAAACCAGUGCACCAUCAUCGUCACUCGCA
This 895-nucleotide long non-coding RNA is filed under the name Chrysolophus pictus (golden pheasant). RNAcentral describes it as "lncRNA (ENSCPIG00010004273.1)". The record is from RNAcentral. Lineage: Eukaryota; Metazoa; Chordata; Aves; Galliformes; Phasianidae.